RNAcentral lists this ribosomal RNA (429 nucleotides) under Bacteroidota bacterium. RNAcentral's name for it is "Bacteroidetes bacterium partial 16S ribosomal RNA". It matches the Rfam family "Bacterial small subunit ribosomal RNA", at positions 355 to 776 of the family's 1533-position model. Lineage: Bacteria; Pseudomonadati; Bacteroidota. The record is from RNAcentral.
UAGGGAAUCUUCGGCAAUGGGGGGAACCCUGACCGAGCAACGCCGCGUGAGUGAAGAAGGUUUUCGGAUCGUAAAGCUCUGUUGUUAAGGAAGAACGAGUGUGAGAAUGGAAAGUUCAUACUGUGACGGUACUUAACCAGAAAGGGACGGCUAACUACGUGCCAGCAGCCGCGGUAAUACGUAUGGAGCGAGCGUUGUCCGGAAUUAUUGGGCGUAAAGGGUACGCAGGCGGUUUAAUAAGUCGAAUGUUAAAGAUCGGGGCUCAACCCCGUAAAGCAUUGGAAACUGAUAAACUUGAGUAGUGGAGAGGAAAGUGGAAUUCCUAGUGUAGUGGUGAAAUACGUAGAUAUUAGGAGGAAUACCAGUAGCGAAGGCGACUCUCUGGUCUGUAACUGACGCUGAGGCUCGAAAGCGUGGGUAGCAAACAGG